AGUGAACGCUGGCGGUAGGCCUAACACAUGCAAGUCGAACGGCAGCACAGUAAGCGCUUGCUCUUACGGGUGGCGAGUGGCGGACGGGUGAGGAAUACAUCGGAAUCUACUUUUUCGUGGGGGAUAACGUAGGGACACUUACGCUAAUACCGCAUACGACCUACGGGUGAAAGCAGGGGAUCUUCGGACCUUGCGCGAUUGAAUGAGCCGAUGUCGGAUUAGCUAGUUGGCGGGGUAAAGGCACACCAAGGCGACGAUCCGUAGCUGGUCUGAGAGGAUGAUCAGCCACACUGGAACUGAGACACGGUCCAGACUCCUACGGGAGGCAGCAGUGGGGAAUAUUGGACAAUGGGCGCAAGCCUGAUCCAGCCAUACCGCGUGAGUGAAGAAGGCCUUCGGGUUGUAAAGCUCUUUUGUUGGGAAAGAAAAGCAGCAGGUUAAUACCCCGCUGUUCUGACGGUACCCAAAGAAUAAGCACCGGCUAACUUCGUG
Molecule: ribosomal RNA, 492 nt
Filed under: uncultured bacterium
Lineage: Bacteria
Description: partial 16S ribosomal RNA
Rfam family: Bacterial small subunit ribosomal RNA
Source: RNAcentral